This is a non-coding RNA of Nerophis lumbriciformis (worm pipefish), 733 nucleotides long. NCBI's taxonomy places the organism in Eukaryota, Metazoa, Chordata, Actinopteri, Syngnathiformes, Syngnathidae. The record is from RefSeq and is a predicted model, not a curated record.
GGACCAAGUCAGAGUACUCCAAACUCUCUGCAACCUCGUUAGUGACAAAUACAGCGACGGCCCUCCUCAACAAUCGGGCUAGCAGGAGCUCUUUCCUGAGAGCGGCGUAUUUAUGUCCUCGUUCCGCCUUGCUGCCAUGAGUCAUGCUUCAAAGCCCAAUUGCAUGCGUUUAUUCCACGCACUUUUUGACCACUUUUUUACAGUUGAGGAGUGUCAAAAUGCUGUCGCUUUUGGUCGCCCUGGAAACAAACCUGCAGGAACAGGAAAGCGCAUCCUUGACCGGAAAAAAGUUGAAGAAAUCCUAACAUAUGUCCUGAGAUGCGGUACCCUUCCUGAUUGGGACAAUAUUGAGGAGGCCAAGCUCAAGCAAGCUUUGGUAAACAAAUGUUGGGCAAGAGCAGGUUUUAAGUAGGCCCUUGUACCUGCCAAGUUCAUUCUGGGGUAGGAUGUUUCCUUUGUAAACAUGUUGAUAUUUUGGUCUGGGGUUGCGCAGUAUAUAUUGUAUAAAAAUGCCCUAUGAUGUAGCUUUUAGUACCACGUUAUACUGUGACAAUGCAUAUUGAGCUGUGCUGUGUCUCGCAAAUUUGGCACUGAUGCAACCUCACUAACAAGCUAGCGGCUAAUAUCCCUUCACAGUACAAAGCUGUUUCCAAAUAAAAAACGGAAAUGACGCAGUAUGUUACUGCUUACAUAAUCAGGUAUAUUAGUAGCUUUUGUAACCAAUUUCAAAAUG